GCUGGCUGAGGAAUUCUGGGUGUUGAAGUCCACAAGUCUUAAAGUUGCCAAGUUUGGGAGACCUUUGGUUUAGAUGUAGCUCCUUGAAGGUUGUAGGUGGCAGUAAAAAGGAGUACUUUAUUGGGAACUAAGUAUUUAAUUGGAUCUGUGUUAAUUAGGACAAUGCAGUGCUCUGGAAAUAAUUUGGAAAAGCUAUUUUGGAGCAGCUAAAAAGACGAACAUAACCCUUGUUGACAACUCUUUAAAGCAGCCACAUCUUUUUCUUGAUAAGACAUAAACAUCUUCUGCAGUUACCCAUGACCGAGGCAUUCCUGCUGUAAAAGAGUUGUUGACAGGCUCAUUGUUCUCACUUCUAUGCCCCUUUUUGCAAUUGAAUCCAGAGAAUUAUCCAGGUGGAGUGUCCAUGACCGAGAAAGGACUUGGCAUGUGGAAAGAAAAACCCUUAUUUUCCCCUAUUCAUAGGCUCUUGGGCUAAAGAAGGCACAUCUUGAGAAAGUUCUUGUUUUUCGGACAGAAACCUGGGGUUCUGUAGUAGAUAUAGGAAUGGGAUGGAGAAAUAAAUGGACAAUGUAGCACGUUUUAUUUGUCCAAGUUCUGACUAGCCCAAUAUGGCCACUGGAUGGAUUUCUAGGUAGAGUUGGUUUGCAUACCCAACAUAAUGAAGGGGCAAAGACGACUAUUUUAAUUUACUCCAUGUCUGCAAGUAACCAUGUCAGGAAGAAAGGUAGUAGUAACUAUUUUAGCAGGGAACGUUCAGUGAGUUAUUUCUCUUGCUAUUUCUUCUGAUUACUCAGGGGAGAUUCAAAGCCAGAAAAGUUGAAUCAAACAAGGCAUUCCAAACAACGAUUAAUUCGAAACUGUAGUUCUUGCUUGGAUUUUACCUCUUGCUUUCAUCUCUGUUGCUGUCUUUUCUUAAGAUCUUUGAUGAUCUAGUAAUUUCUAUUUUAUAGGCUAUAAUUGAUAUUCCUCAAAUUUUUAUUAUAAGAGGUCAUUCUAGCUUUGUUCCAUUCUCUGCUGUCUUUUGACCUCAAGCUGUGUAUCCUUGCUCUUUAAUAAUUAAUUAAUUAAUUACUUAAUAAGAGACAUUUCCAGUAACUCCAAUUUGUCCAUUAGAUACUAAUAAUUUAGUAAUGAUGAUACCAUAUGAUGUUCAACAACAUCAAUCAAAAGCAGGGAUAUUCAACCUUGGCAUCUUUAAGGCUCAUGAACUUCAGUGUCCAGAAUUCCCUAUAGCCAGCAUGGCUAGCUGGUGAGAAUUCUGGGAGUUGAAGUCCACAAGACUUAAAGUUGCCAAGUUUGGGGACUUCCGGUUUAGAAAUACCGGUUUUCUGCAGUUGACUUUUGAGUUGUAUGGAAAAUAGUGCUUUCCGAAAGAUCUCCCGCAUGUGUGUUGUGUUCUUGACUUUGUGAAAUAUUUUUGCCAAUCCCCUAAUCUUUUCCCCUGCCCCUCAAAAAAAAAAAAAAAAAUAGAAGGUGCACAUGAUUUAAACUGAUUCUAUUUUGCUUUUUUUUUUUUUUGUCUUGAUUUCAGGGGUUAGUUCCUAAAGUUCAUACCUUUGCAUCCACUAUCUCAGGUCCCUUUAAAAUGAUAAAUGCUUCAGGGAUUUUUAAUGCCACUUGAGAAUGGCAGACCAAAUGUAAUAUUUAUAUGCAAUGAACUAUUUAGUUUUUUUGUAUUGUAAAAAAAAAAUAUGUAAAUUUGUAAAGAUUUUUUUUCCUAGAGUUUUUUCUUUUCUUCCUUGGGGCGGGUGGGUUAAAAGACGGGAUGGGAAUGAAUUGGGAGGGUGAGGAAUGUCACAAUGUAAUUUAGGAUGUUUCAUUUUCCAGCUCUGGGAUUAUCUUAA
Molecule: non-coding RNA, 1844 nt
Organism: Notechis scutatus (mainland tiger snake)
Lineage: Eukaryota; Metazoa; Chordata; Lepidosauria; Squamata; Elapidae
Source: RefSeq, a predicted model, not a curated record